UGGUCCUAUAGUUGAUGUGUAUGUUC
This 26-nucleotide non-coding RNA is filed under the name Homo sapiens (human). The record is from RNAcentral. RNAcentral also lists the same sequence under 1 other name. Lineage: Eukaryota; Metazoa; Chordata; Mammalia; Primates; Hominidae.